GAGUUCUGUGGGCAUCUUCAGGCAUUGAGAAGUCCUUAGCUGUCACUGUGAGUCAGACAGACGAGAGUUCCAUGGGCAUCUUCAGCCAUUCAGAAGUCCUUAGCUAUCACUGUGAGUCAAACAGAGAGCUGUGUGAGAGUUCUGUGUGAUGCGAUGAUGUGUGUGGACGUCACUUAAAAGUGUCUGUCUGGCUGCUGAGUUAAGAACAGACUGCUUUGGAGCAAGGGUGAAAUCAUGAGACCAAUGAGGAUGCUUUUGCCUAAUUUGGGCGAGAAAGAGUGGUUUGAACAGGUCCAUGAUGUCUAGCACACCCAGAGUAGCUCCCUGGGGAUUGUCUGCUGCUGAGACUCACAAAUAGAAGAAGGAUAUUCCGAAAAAGUCCAUGAAUAAGAUGUGCUCAUGCUUUGAAGCACACUUUCUGCUCUCUCUCUCAUAUGCCACCAUCAAGCAUCUAUAACAGGAGGAUAAGAAUGCAGUUAUAGAAGGUUGCAGGUUGCUGUCAGGGAAAAAUAUAUCCAGGCUUGAACAAUGGAUAUGCGCAUCCAUCCCUAGGGAGCAUGGACACGUGACCAUUACUUGGGUGAAACAGAACUGUCUAAACAGAAUUUCGGCAGGAGAGGUAAAAGUGCAACUUGAAAUAUUCUUGCUAUCCGGCCAGGUGCGGUGGCUCAAGCCUGUAAUCCCAGCACUUUGGGAGGCUGAGGAGGGUGGAUCACGAGGUCAAGAGAUCGAGAUCAUCCUGGCCAACAUGGUGAAACCCUGUCUCUACUAAUUUUUUGGUAUUUUGUAAAAAUACAAAAAAUUAUCUGGGCAUGGUGGCGCGUGCCUGUAAUCCCAGCUACUCAGGAGGCUGAGGCAGGAGAAUUGCCUGAACACAGGAGGUGGAGGUUGCGGUGAGCCAAGAUCGUGCCAUUGCACUCCAGCCUGGGUAACAAGAGCGAAACUCCGUCACACACACACACACACACACACACACACACAAAGAAAUAUUCUUGCGAUCUAAACACCAGUCUCUAAAGGUUGAAGAACAGAAUAGAAGUAGAACAUUUCUUAAACCCACCUGCUCCUCAGAUCAGCACAGUCAGCUAAGCGAUUCAUUGCUAAUGGCAUGUUAGAGUCAUUAAAUAUUUGACGUAU
This 1137-nucleotide long non-coding RNA is filed under the name Callithrix jacchus (white-tufted-ear marmoset). RNAcentral's name for it is "lncRNA (ENSCJAG00000073497.1)". The record is from RNAcentral. Lineage: Eukaryota; Metazoa; Chordata; Mammalia; Primates; Cebidae.